RNAcentral lists this ribosomal RNA (537 nucleotides) under Acinetobacter sp. 270/05. Its description in RNAcentral is "partial 16S ribosomal RNA". It matches the Rfam family "Bacterial small subunit ribosomal RNA", at positions 35 to 562 of the family's 1533-position model. RNAcentral also lists the same sequence under 1 other name. The record is from RNAcentral. Lineage: Bacteria; Pseudomonadati; Pseudomonadota; Gammaproteobacteria; Moraxellales; Moraxellaceae.
GCUGGCGGCGGCUUAACACAUGCAWGUCGAGCGGSGRGAUGUAGCUUGCUACAUUYCCUAGCGGCGGACGGGUGAGUAAUGCUUAGGAAUCUGCCUAUUAGUGGGGGACAACAUUCCGAAAGGAAUGCUAAUACCGCAUACGCCCUACGGGGGAAAGCAGGGGAUCUUCRGACCUUGCGCUAWUAGAUGAGCCUAAGUCAGAUUAGCUAGUUGGUGGGGUAAAGGCCUACCARGGCGAMSAUCUGUAKCGGGUCUGAGAGGAUGAUCCGCCAYACUGGGACUGAGACACGGCCCAGACUCCUACGGGAGGCAGCAGUGGGGAAUAUUGGACAMUGGGCGAAAGCCUGAUCCAGCCAUGCCGCGUGUGUGAAGAAGGCCUUUUGGUUGUAAAGCACUUUAAGCGAGGAGGAGGCUACUURGAUUAAUACUCUAGGAUAGUGGACGUUACUCGCAGAAYAMGCACCCGGCUAACUCUGUGCCAGCAGCCCGCGGUAAUACAGAGGGGUGCGAGCGUUAAUCGGAUUUUACUGGGGCGUU